Molecule: ribosomal RNA, 261 nt
Filed under: uncultured bacterium
Lineage: Bacteria
Description: partial 16S ribosomal RNA
Rfam family: Bacterial small subunit ribosomal RNA
Source: RNAcentral
CGAACGGGUGAGUAACACGUGGGCAACCUGCCCAAAAGAGGGGGAUAACACUUGGAAACAGGUGCUAAUACCGCAUAACCAUAGUUACCGCAUGGUAACUAUGUAAAAGGUGGCUAUGCUACCGCUUUUGGAUGGGCCCGCGACGCAUUAGCUAGUUGGUGGGGUAAAGGCUUACCAAGGCAAUGAUGCGUAGCCGAACUGAGAGGUUGAUCGGCCGCAUUGGGACUGAGACACGGCCCAAACUCCUACGGGAGGCAGCAG